GUUCGUGUAUUGAGUGAUGGUGGCUUCAGGGCAUGAGGCAAAAUUUAUGCAAUGGUAGCAACAACUAUUCUUCACAUAGACACAUACUAUCUUGAUGUCUAAUAUGAACUUUCCCUAGUCUACUCCACUUAUGCUCCACACAUUGAGCAGUAGUUUUCCUCAUCUUAGACAUUCCUUUUUUAUUCAUGCAUUAUUAGCACUCAAGUAAUAAUUAAAGCCGAUCAAAUGUACUAUUCGUAGUGUGCAUGCAGUUAUCUAGUUACCUGGCUUUCUCUUGUUUACCCUUUACCAUCAAUCUCCUCAUUUGAACUUUCAUUCUUGGCAUUGUUACCUCAAAUUAUACUAAAACAGUUAUUUUUGUCGCUUUUAUUUUCUUAGAAUACUCCAACAGCAAGUGCAAUAUCUUUUGCUCACCCAUCAAGCUCUCAAAGGGUGAAUUACUCCAAAAGAUGGAGCAGGACCACUUGGCUGAGUCACUCAAUGAUCUUUUCACCAAUGUAUCCAGGAUGAUAAGAGGCGAGCUCCAGGUAUAAGAAAUUUUCGGCAAUUUUCUUUCAAAAU
Molecule: long non-coding RNA, 561 nt
Filed under: Nicotiana tabacum (common tobacco)
Lineage: Eukaryota; Viridiplantae; Streptophyta; Magnoliopsida; Solanales; Solanaceae
Description: long non-coding RNA (NTAB_LNC000807)
Source: RNAcentral